UGCAAAUCGAAUAAGAUGAUAUGGACUC
RNAcentral lists this small RNA (28 nucleotides) under Bombyx mori (domestic silkworm). RNAcentral describes it as "ovarian small RNA-8451". The record is from RNAcentral. Lineage: Eukaryota; Metazoa; Arthropoda; Insecta; Lepidoptera; Bombycidae.